Molecule: ribosomal RNA, 466 nt
Filed under: uncultured bacterium
Lineage: Bacteria
Description: partial 16S ribosomal RNA
Rfam family: Bacterial small subunit ribosomal RNA
Source: RNAcentral
CGGGUGGCUGCAGCAGUGGGGAAUAUUGGACAAUGGGGGAAACCCUGAUCCAGCAAUGCCGCGUGUGUGAAGAAGGCCUGCGGGUUGUAAAGCACUUUCGGUUGGGAGGACUGCUUCUAGCACUAAUAUUGUUGGAAGUUGACGUUACCUUCAGAAGAAGCACCGGCUAACUCCGUGCCAGCAGCCGCGGUAAUGACGGAGGGUGCAAGCGUUAAUCGGAAUUACUGGGCGUAAAGCGCGCGUAGGCGGCUAGAUCAGUCGGGUGUGAAAGCCCCGGGCUUAACCUGGGAACUGCAUCCGAUACUGUCUAGCUUGAGUACAGGAGAGGAGAGUGGAAUUCCAUAUGUAGCGGUGAAAUGCGUAGAUAUGUGGAGGAACACCAAUGGCGAAGGCAGCUCUCUGGCCUGAUACUGACGCUGAGGUGCGAAAGCGUGGGGAGCAAACAGGAUUAGAUACCCUAGUAGUC